RNAcentral lists this non-coding RNA (26 nucleotides) under Mus musculus (house mouse). RNAcentral also lists the same sequence under 1 other name. The record is from RNAcentral. Lineage: Eukaryota; Metazoa; Chordata; Mammalia; Rodentia; Muridae.
CAAGAAGUAGUUUAAUUAGAAUACCA